CCUUCAGAGGGGGACAACAGUUGGAACGACUGCUAAUACCGCAUACGAUCUAAUCUCGGCAUCGAGGAUAGAUGAAAGGUGGCCUCUACAUGUAAGCUAUCACUGAAGGAGGGGAUUGCGUCUGAUUAGCUAGUUGGAGGGGUAACGGCCCACCAAGGCGAUGAUCAGUAGCCGGUCUGAGAGGAUGAACGGCCACAUUGGGACUGAGACACGGCCCAGACUCCUACGGGAGGCAGCAUG
This 240-nucleotide ribosomal RNA is filed under the name uncultured bacterium. RNAcentral's name for it is "partial 16S ribosomal RNA". It matches the Rfam family "Bacterial small subunit ribosomal RNA", at positions 130 to 353 of the family's 1533-position model. The record is from RNAcentral.